CCUGGUGGCUCAGAGGGUAAAGCAUCUGCCUGCGAUGCAGGAGACCCGGGUUCGAUCCCUGGGUCAGGA
Molecule: transfer RNA, 69 nt
Filed under: Bos taurus (domestic cattle)
Lineage: Eukaryota; Metazoa; Chordata; Mammalia; Artiodactyla; Bovidae
Also listed under: 4 other names
Rfam family: tRNA
About the family: Transfer RNA (tRNA) molecules are approximately 80 nucleotides in length.
Source: Rfam by way of RNAcentral